AUUGAACGCUGGCGGCAUGCCUUACACAUGCAAGUCGAACGGCAGCACGGGUGCUUGCCCCUGGUGGCGAGUGGCGAACGGGUGAGUAAUACAUCGGAACAUGUCCUGUAGUGGGGGAUAGCCCGGCGAAAGCCGGAUUAAUACCGCAUACGAUCUACGGAUGAAAGCGGGGGACCUUCGGGCCUCGCGCUAUAGGGGUGGCCGAUGGCUGAUUAGCUAGUUGGUGGGGUAAAGGCCUACCAAGGCGACGAUCAGUAGCUGGUCUGAGAGGACGACCAGCCACACUGGGACUGAGACACGGCCCAGACUCCUACGGGAGGCAGCAGUGGGGAAUUUUGGACAAUGGGCGAAAGCCUGAUCCAGCAAUGCCGCGUGUGUGAAGAAGGCCUUCGGGUUGUAAAGCACUUUUGUCCGGAAAGAAAUCCUUGGCCCUAAUACGGUCGGGGGAUGACGGUACCGGAAGAAUAAGCACCGGCUAACUACGUG
Molecule: ribosomal RNA, 486 nt
Filed under: uncultured bacterium
Lineage: Bacteria
Description: partial 16S ribosomal RNA
Rfam family: Bacterial small subunit ribosomal RNA
Source: RNAcentral